This is a long non-coding RNA of Aptenodytes forsteri (emperor penguin), 1550 nucleotides long. RefSeq lists it as uncharacterized. Lineage: Eukaryota; Metazoa; Chordata; Aves; Sphenisciformes; Spheniscidae. The record is from RefSeq and is a predicted model, not a curated record. The transcript is spliced from 2 exons.
GCUGUCAGCCGUCUCGGGGGAAUUUGCUGCCCAAGUUUUGAAUAUGCCAUAAAAAAAUGACACCCUUGUUCCUUUUGUUGGAGCUUGGGCAUUGCAAAGUUAAGACCCAGAAGCUGAGGGACUAGAGAAAGCACUAGGAGAAGGGAGCAUGACCAAGGGCAUCAGCUGGGAAGCCGUAUGCCUGUGUUCCAGGUUUAAGGCAGCCUGGCUAUUAGUUAGUUGCUUGAGUGUGGACCUUUUGGCUCCAUCUCUUGGAAUAAGCUGGCUGAGUUGAGCCUUAAACCCGUUUUAGGUUCAGAAAUAGGCAAUCGGGUUCUUGCUCUGAAGACCUUUGACUCCCACUUGGGCCUCUGGAAAAUCCAAAUGUAGUGGGUCCAGAUGCUUUGAUGAGGCCAUGAAAGAUUUCAGGAAAGUAUUAGAGUUAAACCCCCAGUUUGAAGAUGCUGCACUGAGUCUAAAACAGGCUAUUCUUGAUAAAGAAGAAAAAGAAAAGCGGGGGUAUUGAACAUGCAGCUAGUGGUGUGAAAACGUUUUGCUAAACACUUACGUGAUUUUUGUCACUGAUGGAUGAAACACAAGAUCAUUUACAUCUGUUACGACCUACUGAAGAAACCUCAUUCUUGGGUAAAUAAGUUAAAAAUGGAUUAUGAUUGCAAAAUAAACUAUAUUUGGAUAUUGUUAGUGUUGAGGAAAAGCAUAAUGUUAGAUCUAUGUGAGAUACUUGUACAGGUUUUGUACAGAAGUACUUCAUAAAGAUGUUGGAAGCUCAGUAACAGCAAAUGAAGUCUGUGGUUCUCUUACUAAAACUGUUUCUGUACUCCACAGCUUGUUUUAAACAGUCUGUCAUGGGGAAGAAUAAUCAAACUUUAUAAAACAUUUAAAUACUUAAGAUUGGAGCUUGUGAGAAGUACAGUGGUUGAAUAAUGAUAGUGUUUGUCCAUAUUUAAAUGUAAACUUGAUUUAGGCUAAAAGUGCAAUUGUUAAUUAUAAGGUGGUAUCCUUGAGGUGCUGUGGUAACUGAUUUUCUUUUCAGAGUGUUUCUGUAUUAAGAAACACUUAACAAAAACAGUAAGACCUCUGUAGGUGACACCAUCUGUACUUUGCAGGAGGAAUGUGGUGUAAGCAUUUAGUCCAUCAUAAGUUCAUUCACUCCUAGAGGUAGCUUUACGUUAUGUGAGCAGGUAGGGACAGAGCAUACCUAUUUUUUGUAAUCCCAUUGUAAAAGUAUUGGACAGGUUAAUAACUGAAUGAAUAAAAAUGAGCAUGUACUUUUUAUCUCAUGAUUGUCUGUGAAGAGCUUAUGGUAGAGAAUGUAGUUGGGCUGUUCACAGUAGGAAUUGUGGCUUUCUCCUUUUUAUUGGAAAGGCCAAUUGCUUGAAAAACAUAAUGUGAAAUCGAUCUGAUUGAGCUGGCUGUGAAUACCCAGGCAGCUUCAUUUCUCACAUGAUGGGAGGACCAUUGCUGAAAUCUAUGAAUCGUCAAUAAGAAACACCCUUGCAUGUUCAUAGCAAUACAAGUUCUAAUAAAAGAAAUGCUCUUUGAUUGCCUGC